This 332-nucleotide ribosomal RNA is filed under the name Funneliformis mosseae. Its description in RNAcentral is "partial large subunit ribosomal RNA". The record is from RNAcentral. Lineage: Eukaryota; Fungi; Glomeromycota; Glomeromycetes; Glomerales; Glomeraceae.
CAGUCAUACCAACGGGAAAUCAACCUUUUGAGCUCGGUCUCGUGGGUUUUGAAGAGUUUCAAAGCCUUCGGAUUCGCGGGAUUGGGAUCUCUCGGUGUACUUUCUCGUACGGUUAGUCAACAUCGGUUUUGAAUGUCAUAAAAUGACUGGAGGAAUGUAGCUUCGAUCUCGUAUUGAAGUGUUAUAGCCUUUGGUAGAUGUGAUGUUUGAGACCGAGGAUUGCAACGGAUACCCUUCAGGGCUAUUCGUCUGAUCUCUGAUACGUUGCCCUGAUGUUGAAAGCUUGCUUAUGAUGUUAGGGUAUUACGGUCAAAAGGUUAGAACGAAUUACA